AACGCGAAGAACCUUACCCGGGCUUGAACUACUCGUGGUAGGCUGGUAGAAACAUCGGCCGACCCGCAAGGGAGCGAGCAGAGGUGCUGCAUGGUUGUCGUCAGCUCGUGUCGUGAGAUGUUGGGUUAAGUCCCGCAACGAGCGCAACCCCUACUCGAUGUUGCUAAUCCCGCAAGGGAUGCACUCUUCGAGAACUGCCUUCGACAAGAAGGAGGAAGGUGGGGACGACGUCAAAUCCUCAUGGCCCUUAUGUCCGGGGCUACACACGUGCUACAAUGGCCGGUACAACGGGAAGCAAUACCGUAAGGUGGAGCAAAACCCUGAAAGCCGGCCCCAGUUCAGAUUGUGGGCUGCAACUCGCCCACAUGAAGGCGGAAUCGCUAGUAAUCGCGAAUCAGCAGGUCGCGGUGAAUACGUUCCCGGGCCUUGUA
This 431-nucleotide ribosomal RNA is filed under the name uncultured Elusimicrobium sp. RNAcentral's name for it is "bacterial SSU rRNA". It matches the Rfam family "Bacterial small subunit ribosomal RNA", at positions 958 to 1385 of the family's 1533-position model. The record is from RNAcentral. Lineage: Bacteria; Pseudomonadati; Elusimicrobiota; Elusimicrobia; Elusimicrobiales; Elusimicrobiaceae.